This 75-nucleotide transfer RNA is filed under the name Sphingopyxis granuli. RNAcentral describes it as "tRNA-Thr". It matches the Rfam family "tRNA". Rfam says of the family: Transfer RNA (tRNA) molecules are approximately 80 nucleotides in length. Their secondary structure includes four short double-helical elements and three loops (D, anti-codon, and T loops). The record is from RNAcentral. RNAcentral also lists the same sequence under 2 other names. Lineage: Bacteria; Pseudomonadati; Pseudomonadota; Alphaproteobacteria; Sphingomonadales; Sphingopyxidaceae.
GCCGCUUUAGCUCAGUUGGUAGAGCACAUCAUUCGUAAUGAUGGGGUCAGGUGUUCGAGUCACCAAGCGGCACCA